AGAACGUCGCGAGACAGUUCGGUCUCUAUCUAUUGCGGGCGUUAGAAAUUUGAAGGGAGCUGACUUUAGUACGAGAGGACCGAGUCGGACAAACCUCUAGUGCACCUGUUGUGGCGCCAGCUGCAUCGCAGGGUAGCUAUGUUUGGAUUAGAUAAGCGCUGAAAGCAUAUAAGCGCGAAACUCGCCCUAAGAUGAGAUUUCUUUUAAGGGUCGUUCGAGAUCAGGACGUUGAUAGGCU
RNAcentral lists this ribosomal RNA (238 nucleotides) under Chaetoceros affinis. Its description in RNAcentral is "partial Bacterial large subunit ribosomal RNA". It matches the Rfam family "Bacterial large subunit ribosomal RNA", at positions 2613 to 2862 of the family's 2925-position model. Lineage: Eukaryota; Bacillariophyta; Thalassiosirophyceae; Chaetocerotales; Chaetocerotaceae. The record is from RNAcentral.